GGACGAAGCUGAAAAGCAAAAUUACCUUGGGAGGUAAAUUCGAUAAGGCCCAGCGCGCAAUGGUUGUCAACAAGGGAACUGCUGAUCAGAUUGUGGAUGCUGAUCUCGGUCCGGAGUACACAGAACUGAUCCCCGUGGCUGACAUGAAGGGACUCACACCCGCCAAGAAAAAGAUGGCUGCGAUGGCGGCUGGCCCGGACUCGGCUCUGCGCAUGCUUAGUGCCGACGACCCAACGGAGACGCUCCCAAAGUCCAUCACUCCGGAAGUGG
Amphibalanus amphitrite is the source of this 270-nucleotide long non-coding RNA. RefSeq lists it as uncharacterized. NCBI's taxonomy places the organism in Eukaryota, Metazoa, Arthropoda, Thecostraca, Balanomorpha, Balanidae. The transcript has 3 exons. The record is from RefSeq and is a predicted model, not a curated record.